This 526-nucleotide long non-coding RNA is filed under the name Mytilus galloprovincialis (Mediterranean mussel). The record is from RNAcentral. Lineage: Eukaryota; Metazoa; Mollusca; Bivalvia; Mytilida; Mytilidae.
GCUGUUUAUGAUGUCUUUACACUAAAUCCAUUGAAUGUUGGAUGUGUACGGAUUGAUAAUUUAGUCUUAGAUGCAUGAUUUUUUUAUUAGUUGUUAGUGGCUUUGAACUAGCUGUCAGAUAACUGCGAGUACUCUCAGAUCUGUUCAUUGUGUCUUUUUGUGUCGGGAUGUAUAAGUACCCGGCCAAGUCCACUUAUAUUGUUGUCCAUCUGAUGAGUUAAUAUAAAAAAGAAGAUGUGGUAUGAUUGCCAAUGAGACAACUAUCCACAAAAGACCAAAAUGACACGGACAUUAACAACUAUAGGUCACCGUACGGCCUUCAACAAUGAUCAAAGCCCAUACCGCAUAGUCAGCUAUAAUAGGCCCCGAUAAGACAAUGUAAAACAAUUCAAACGAGAAAAAUAACGGCCUUAUUUAUGUAAAAAAAAAUGAACGAAAAACAAAUAUGUAACACAUACACAAACGACAACCACUGAAUUACAGGCUCCUGACUUGGGUCAGGCACAUACAUAAAUAAUGUGGAGGG